RNAcentral lists this ribosomal RNA (254 nucleotides) under Streptococcus thermophilus. Its description in RNAcentral is "partial 16S ribosomal RNA". It matches the Rfam family "Bacterial small subunit ribosomal RNA", at positions 1 to 246 of the family's 1533-position model. Lineage: Bacteria; Bacillati; Bacillota; Bacilli; Lactobacillales; Streptococcaceae. The record is from RNAcentral.
UUAAUGAGAGUUUGAUCCUGGCUCAGGACGAACGCUGGCGGCGUGCCUAAUACAUGCAAGUAGAACGCUGAAGAGAGGAGCUUGCUCUUCUUGGAUGAGUUGCGAACGGGUGAGUAACGCGUAGGUAACCUGCCUUGUAGCGGGGGAUAACUAUUGGAAACGAUAGCUAAUACCGCAUAACAAUGGAUGACACAUGUCAUUUAUUUGAAAGGGGCAAUUGUUCCACUACAAGAUGGACCUGCGUUGUAUUAGCU